RNAcentral lists this ribosomal RNA (431 nucleotides) under uncultured bacterium. RNAcentral describes it as "bacterial SSU rRNA". It matches the Rfam family "Bacterial small subunit ribosomal RNA", at positions 29 to 506 of the family's 1533-position model. The record is from RNAcentral.
ACGAACGCUGGCGGCAUGCCUAAUACAUGCAAGUCGAACGAGAUCUUCGGAUCUAGUGGCGCACGGGUGCGUAACGCGUGGGAAUCUACCCUUGGGUUCGGAAUAACAGUUAGAAAUGACUGCUAAUACCGGAUGAUGACGUAAGUCCAAAGAUUUAUCGCCCAAGGAUGAGCCCGCGUAGGAUUAGCUUGUUGGUGAGGUAAAAGCUCACCAAGGCGACGAUCCUUAGCUGGUCUGAGAGGAUGAUCAGCCACACUGGGACUGAGACACGGCCCAGCCUCCUACGGGAGGCAGCAGUAGGUAAUAUUGGACAAUGGGGGAAACCCUGCUCCAGCAAUGCCGCGUGAGUGAUGAAGGCCUUAGGGUUGUAAAGCUCUUUUACCCGAGAUGAUAAUGACAGUCUCGGGAGAAUACGCUCCGGCUCCCUCCGU